GAUGAACGCUGGCGGCGUGCCUAAUACAUGCAAGUCGAGCGAACGGACGAGAAGCUUGCUUCUCUGAUGUUAGCGGCGGACGGGUGAGUAACACGUGGAUAACCUACCUAUAAGACUGGGAUAACUUCGGGAAACCGGAGCUAAUACCGGAUAAUAUUUUGAACCGCAUGGUUCAAAAGUGAAAGACGGUCUUGCUGUCACUUAUAGAUGGAUCCUCGCUGCAUUAGCUAGUUGGUAAGGUAACGGCUUACCAAGGCAACGAUGCAUAGCCGACCUGAGAGGGUGAUCGGCCACACUGGAACUGAGACACGGUCCAGACCCCUACGGGAGGCAGCAGUAGGGAAUCUUCCGCAAUGGGCGAAAGCCUGACGGAGCAACGCCGCGUGAGUGAUGAAGGUCUUCGGAUCGUAAAACUCUGUUAUUAGGGAAGAACAUAUGUGUAAGUAACUGUGCACAUCUUGACGGUACCUAAUCAGAAAGCCACGGCUAACUACGUG
Molecule: ribosomal RNA, 497 nt
Filed under: uncultured bacterium
Lineage: Bacteria
Description: partial 16S ribosomal RNA
Rfam family: Bacterial small subunit ribosomal RNA
Source: RNAcentral